AUUGAACGCUGGCGGCAGGCCUAACACAUGCAAGUCGAGCGGAUGACGGGAGCUUGCUCCUUGAUUCAGCGGCGGACGGGUGAGUAAUGCCUAGGAAUCUGCCUGGUAGUGGGGGACAACGUUUCGAAAGGAACGCUAAUACCGCAUACGUCCUACGGGAGAAAGCAGGGGACCUUCGGGCCUUGCGCUAUCAGAUGAGCCUAGGUCGGAUUAGCUAGUUGGUGGGGUAAUGGCUCACCAAGGCGACGAUCCGUAACUGGUCUGAGAGGAUGAUCAGUCACAAUGGAACUGGGACACGGUCCAGACUCCUACGGGAGGCAGCAGUGGGGAAUAUUGGACAAUGGGCGAAAGCCUGAUCCAGCCAUGCCGCGUGUGUGAAGAAGGUCUUCGGAUUGUAAAGCACUUUAAGUUGGGAGGAAGGGCAGUAAGUUAAUACCUUGCUGUUUUGACGUUACCGGCAGAAUAAGCACCGGCUAACUCUGUGCCAGCAGCCGCCGUAA
Molecule: ribosomal RNA, 500 nt
Filed under: uncultured bacterium
Lineage: Bacteria
Description: partial 16S ribosomal RNA
Rfam family: Bacterial small subunit ribosomal RNA
Source: RNAcentral